UCCACUGCAAAGGAAUUUUAAUUUGAAUCUCCUGGAGGUGUCUGGCAUCGAACUGGCGUGUUGCCUUUGUUGCAAGAGGCCAGUAACAAAGUGUUUGUCGUCUCCCUACAGCAGCGCAUCAGGGCAAACCCAUCUUUCUAUCAUUUGCGGUAAAUCAACACCUUCCACAAAGGUCCUUGGCAGGAAGUGGUUGCAGGCUUUCAGUGGAGAGGUUGGAAAGACAUCUUCAGUCCACAGUCCGAGCCAACAUUCACAAUGAGCAGUCCAAGCAAUUAUCAAUGGCCCAUCCAGCCGAGGAAUUCUCAGGACACAGUCAGUUUUCGGAGUCUCCACAUGUUGGACAGGGAGUCACAAGCAUGAGAAAGGAAUUUCUACAGCAGAAAGCACUCCUUUGGAAAGGGUAAAAACUGGUUGACAUUCCCCACACAGAAAACUUGUAUAAUAUGCCCCAAUCCCAGGUGAAUGAUCGCUAUGUAAAUAUAUUUUUGAAGUGGUCAUUAGCUAUUCAAAGACAUAACAUGUAUUGUAUCUUUUUUCUAAACUGUGUUAGCCAGAAUAGUCAUUUUAUUGGAAUUGUUUAAUCUUUAAAUAUAAUUUGUCCUUGAAGGCAAAAUGAUUUAUCAGUUUUGAAGCCUAAACGUGGGAUGAUUUUGGGGACAGAUAACACUGGAAGUGCAAAAGGAUCAUUGGAUUUGUUUAAUUUCAUUAAAUGUUCAUGAGACCAGAUCUUCUGAGGGAGUAUGUUGACAACUGAUACACAGAUUACUUAUGUACGGUUUGUGUAUGCAGAUGUCUUGUGUCAUACUGGUUUUCUUAAAGUGUAACUCAGCUUUACUUUGUCGAUGAUAUGUCUAUUCUCAAUUAAAGCAGCUUUAUUUCUCUUUUUC
Amblyraja radiata (thorny skate) is the source of this 887-nucleotide long non-coding RNA. RefSeq lists it as uncharacterized. The record is from RefSeq and is a predicted model, not a curated record. Lineage: Eukaryota; Metazoa; Chordata; Chondrichthyes; Rajiformes; Rajidae. The transcript has 3 exons.